Non-coding RNA from Malus domestica (apple), 149 nucleotides. The record is from RefSeq and is a predicted model, not a curated record. NCBI's taxonomy places the organism in Eukaryota, Viridiplantae, Streptophyta, Magnoliopsida, Rosales, Rosaceae.
AGACUACAAAAACUUAUAAGAUAUGAAGUAUGCGAUCAAAAAGCUUGAUGGCUCUGAGUUCCGAAAUGCUUUUGACCGCCAAUCUGUUCGGGUUGGUCAAGGACAUGGGGAGAAGAGCACUUUGGAAAUGGUAAGGUGCACAAAUAUGG